UACAGCUGGGUAUGCAGUUGCUAAUGGAGAGGCUGCAGCUCCCUGAAUCCCUGGCCAAGCAGGUUUUGAUGGAAACUCUAUUCCUGUGCCAAACAAUCACUGAAAACACUGUUAAAGGACAUUUAUGAGGAAAAUGUUGCAAUUCUCUGGCGUUUUGUACCCUGUUUAACUAUUUCAUGGGGAUAGAACCUGUGACCAUUCGGUUUCCUGCAGCCAUCCUGUGUUUUAAGGAUGCUUCAAAAAAUACCUCCUGAACCCCUCUCCUUCACCAGACUUUGCUGUCCUGCUUUCACAAGACAGAUGCACUGAUGCAUCAGGAGCUGCUGGAGCACAGCAAGCAYGGACAUUUGGCCCUAACAGUGAUGCUUGAAUAAACUGGUCCUAGGACUCUUUACUCCCAGCGAGGUUGAGCAAGGCUCUCAUUUGGAUGGAAACUCAAGGAAACUCAAGCCCUACCCUACCAGCACCUCCUGGAGCUGAAGGAGAUGGCAGUUUCUGGUCCCUAAAACAGCAGAACUGUCCCCAAUUCCCGUGGAAACACCAUGAUAAUGCAUACAGCAACAAGACCUCAACCAAAUCCACGUUCAGGGCUAAGCACAGCCAAAUCACUCUUCCAAGAGAAGCACGAAAAGGCAACCGAUGAGCAAUAAUGCUGCAGUCGCUGCAGCCCUGCACAUGGAUUUGGCGCUAGUGCAGAGCGCUCUUCCCUUGGUCCACAGCUGGGUCAUCUGCACUAAUGAGAGGCAGAUGCCCUGAAGCAGUGAUGAUUUGUUUAGAGGUGGUGGAGCUGUGGCUGAGAUCAAAAGCCUGCAGAGCUGCAAGGUCUGUCAUGUCUCCUGAGGGACGCGAGACCGGCCAAAGACACGAGGAAAAGUCAUCGCCUGCCAACACUUGGAGCUCGAGGACGUUUCUGUAGGAAGUAACGCUGCUAAAACAUCCUCUGCAGCAUGUAAACAAUUUUUCCCUAUUCAGGAUCGUCACAAAUAAAGAAGGGAGCUGUGUAAACAGCUCUGAAUCGCCCUUGCUUGUCUCUCGCUCCUGAGCCGCGGAGCAGAAAGCUCAGUUCGGGAGCCAGUACGUACUCAAACUUCCUUCU
Long non-coding RNA from Nothoprocta perdicaria, 1096 nucleotides. RefSeq lists it as uncharacterized. The record is from RefSeq and is a predicted model, not a curated record. Lineage: Eukaryota; Metazoa; Chordata; Aves; Tinamiformes; Tinamidae. The transcript has 2 exons.